Zootermopsis nevadensis is the source of this 845-nucleotide non-coding RNA. Lineage: Eukaryota; Metazoa; Arthropoda; Insecta; Blattodea; Termopsidae. The record is from RefSeq and is a predicted model, not a curated record.
UCUUCCUCCAUUUUCUUUAUUACCACAUCCCGGUCUGGCAUGUGGAAGGCCUUUGUAAAAAUCUACAAACAUAGGAUUUGAGACUUUCGCUGCGAAUACAAUCAAUAAAAUCUUCUCGGGCAAUCAGACGCGUUAACUGGUUACCGUAGUAAACUGACGUUUCGGGAACAAACUUUGUCCCCAUCUUCAGUGUUCUGAUUUGACUGGAUCCUCGGAAGGCGAGUUCCGAGGAUCCAGUCACAACAGAACACUGAAGGUGGGGACAAAGUUUGUUCCCGAAACGUCAGUUUACUACGGUAACCAGUUAACGCGGCUGGUUGGCCGAUAAGAUUUUAUUAAUCUACAAACACAUUGUACAUUACACCUUCAGGAUGCUUCAUUGCGUCGUCACUGAAGCGUUAUAUAUUUACACUGGUUUCAAAAGUCACUUGCUCGAUGUUGAUCAUAAUCGCCGUGAUCCGAGAGGGAUAAGAUCUGUUUUAUAUUUAAAAUGAUUUACGUAAUUACCACGCGUGUAAAGUUUUGCUGCGGGCUGGUUCAGAAACCGUAAUACUUGUACAAGUGUUGCAGAAAGCAUAUAUGGAUGGAAUGAAGAUGGAGCCUGAUUCAGACAGUGAUAAUGAGCCAGUGUCAGCUCUCUGUGAAACGGAGUUCAUGGAUAUGAACGAAGAAGAUUCUCCUACUGCUAUUGGUUCACAUAUCUUGGGCAUCACAGAUGAGGAUAUUAAAGCAAAAAGUGUGGAAGGAACUAACGCACAAGUCAGAUCUGGUGGAGCCAAGCAGCAGUACGUUCGUGGAAUGGAAACUGUGUACAUAAAACAGGAAGUAGAGGAUGAGGUUACUAC